RNAcentral lists this transfer RNA (83 nucleotides) under Pseudomonadota bacterium. RNAcentral describes it as "Proteobacteria bacterium (cold seep metagenome) tRNA-Leu". It matches the Rfam family "tRNA". Rfam says of the family: Transfer RNA (tRNA) molecules are approximately 80 nucleotides in length. Their secondary structure includes four short double-helical elements and three loops (D, anti-codon, and T loops). The record is from RNAcentral. Lineage: Bacteria; Pseudomonadati; Pseudomonadota.
GCGAGAGUGGCGGAAUUGGCAGACGCGCCAGAUUUAGGAUCUGGUGGGCAACCUUGGGGGUUCGAGUCCCCCCUCUCGCACCA